UGGGGAAUAUUGGACAAUGGGCGCAAGCCUGAUCCAGCCAUGCCGCGUGCAGGAUGACGGUCCUAUGGAUUGUAAACUGCUUUUGUACAGGAAGAAACAGUUCUACGUGUAGAACCUUGACGGUACUGUAAGAAUAAGGAUCGGCUAACUCCGUGCCAGCAGCCGCGGUAAUACGGAGGAUCCAAGCGUUAUCCGGAAUCAUUGGGUUUAAAGGGUCCGUAGGCGGUUAGAUAAGUCAGUGGUGAAAGCCCAUCGCUCAACGGUGGAACGGCCAUUGAUACUGUCUGACUUGAAUUAUUAGGAAGUAACUAGAAUAUGUAGUGUAGCGGUGAAAUGCUUAGAGAUUACAUGGAAUACCAAUUGCGAAGGCAGGUUACUACUAAUGUAUUGACGCUGAGGUACGAAAGCGUGGGGAGCAAACAGGAUUAGAUACCCACGUAGUCCCUGAGCGGGCUGGCAAGGCGCAU
This 467-nucleotide ribosomal RNA is filed under the name uncultured bacterium. Its description in RNAcentral is "bacterial SSU rRNA". It matches the Rfam family "Bacterial small subunit ribosomal RNA", at positions 355 to 825 of the family's 1533-position model. The record is from RNAcentral.